UACGUAGGGCGCAAGCGUUGUCCGGAAUUAUUGGGCGUAAAGAGCUCGUAGGCGGUUUGUCGCGUCUGCUGUGAAAACCUAAGGCUCAACCUUGGGCUUGCAGUGGAUACGGGCAGACUAGAGGUAUGCAGGGGAGAACGGAAUUCCUGGUGUAGCGGUGAAAUGCGCAGAUAUCAGGAGGAACACCGGUGGCGAAGGCGGGUCUCUGGGCAAUAACUGACGCUGAGGAGCGAAAGCGU
This 239-nucleotide ribosomal RNA is filed under the name uncultured bacterium. RNAcentral describes it as "partial 16S ribosomal RNA". It matches the Rfam family "Bacterial small subunit ribosomal RNA", at positions 524 to 762 of the family's 1533-position model. The record is from RNAcentral.